Long non-coding RNA from Haliotis rufescens (red abalone), 1128 nucleotides. RefSeq lists it as uncharacterized. NCBI's taxonomy places the organism in Eukaryota, Metazoa, Mollusca, Gastropoda, Lepetellida, Haliotidae. The transcript has 2 exons. The record is from RefSeq and is a predicted model, not a curated record.
UCCCCUGGUAAUCACGUAAGAGUUAUCUGUCGUUUCCGCGCGCAGUGUCAAAAUGGCAGCGACAUAUGCGUUGACGAAUAAGAAAAUGAUGUUAGGAGAAACGGUGAUAUACCCGAGGGAAAGAAAGCAAAAGUUGGCAGGAAUGGGGUAUAUACUAAAGGUGCAGGGGAAACUGAAGUCUGAACAAGUCUAGCGGUCUGGGCCCCUGUAACUGUUACGGUCAACUGGCAAACAGUCCAGAAGAUAAAUUUCCUGACACGCGUUACAGAGAAAUCAUUGGUAGUGUGAACAGAUUUUACUGACAGAUCAAAGAGAAUACAAGUUAACGAGAAAAUUAUAAUAAUCUGAACCUGUCAUAUAUCAUUCAUCACAACACAAUGCGCGUCAAGUAUGUCAAGUCGGCAACUUUGGAACAUUCAGAAUGACUUUGUUCGGCCCAACCUUUUUGUCCACCAUGAGGCAAGGUUGUAUACGAGUGUUCAUAGGGCCAGUAUACAUCAGAUCAAGUGAAGGAAUCAAGGUUCAAGAGGAUUACAAGCUCAGUGCAAGUCUAAUAAACUUUUACAAGUAACUACAUCUUGUAAACAUUUACACAUCAUGGGUUAUGGAGACGAAUUUGAAAAAAGAACCUGGUAUUUUGUUGGUUGCAAUGUCAUUAAGCAAAACGUCUUCCCUGAAUCUCUUCUUACUAUGCUGCAGUACAAUGUACCGGUAUUUCUUGUGUUUUGUCCGAAAAAAUGUCCAGCAAUAACCAUAACUCUGUACGGACUUCGAGCUUAUAUAGAAUUGGAGAUUUUGUAUUGCUGGUUGGGGUUACUUUAUGCUUGUUUUAUAUGCAUUUAUUUUGAAUUAGUGUUUCUAUUUUAGCUGAAUAGGUCUUUACUAGCAUAACAUAGUCAUUUUAAAUUAGGCUAAAUAGUUGAGUCCUCAGUUUGCAAAUACAGACCGAGUAACAAGGUCUUGAUCAAACAUGCCAUGUCCUGUAUUGUUUCUAAUUAAGAAUCAAUGACUAAGACCAAAUUUAACGGCUGUCAGAUAUAUUGUGUAUUAAACAAUAGAUACUGUAAGAUGUGCGAAGAAACAAUGAGAAGUGAUUUAAGACCCAAUGUCUUGUCAAAGAAAUAGGAA